RNAcentral lists this ribosomal RNA (241 nucleotides) under uncultured bacterium. Its description in RNAcentral is "partial 16S ribosomal RNA". It matches the Rfam family "Bacterial small subunit ribosomal RNA", at positions 92 to 334 of the family's 1533-position model. The record is from RNAcentral.
CGACCGGCGCACGGGUGAGUAACGCGUAUCCAACCUACCGCUGACUAGGGAAUAACUCAUCGAAAGGUGGACUAAUGCCCUAUGGUCUUCACGGCAGACAUCUAAAGUGGAGUAAAGAAUUUCGGUCAGCGAUGGGGAUGCGUCUGAUUAGCUUGUUGGCGGGGUAACGGCCCACCAAGGCGACGAUCAGUAGGGGUUCUGAGAGGAAGGUCCCCCACAUUGGAACUGAGAUACGGUCCAA